RNAcentral lists this ribosomal RNA (464 nucleotides) under uncultured bacterium. Its description in RNAcentral is "partial 16S ribosomal RNA". It matches the Rfam family "Bacterial small subunit ribosomal RNA", at positions 28 to 507 of the family's 1533-position model. The record is from RNAcentral.
GACGAACGCUGGCGGCGUGCUUAACACAUGCAAGUCGAACGGAAAGGCCCUGCUUGCAGGGUACUCGAGUGGCGAACGGGUGAGUAACACGUGGGUGAUCUGCCCUGCACUUCGGGAUAAGCCUGGGAAACUGGGUCUAAUACCGGAUAGGAGCCAUUUUUAGUGUGAUGGUUGGAAAGUUUUUUCGGUGUAGGAUGAGCUCGCGGCCUAUCAGCUUGUUGGUGGGGUAAUGGCCUACCAAGGCGGCGACGGGUAGCCGGCCUGAGAGGGUGGACGGCCACAUUGGGACUGAGAUACGGCCCAGACUCCUACGGGAGGCAGCAGUGGGGAAUAUUGCACAAUGGGCGCAAGCCUGAUGCAGCGACGCCGCGUGGGGGAUGACGGCCUUCGGGUUGUAAACUACUUUCGCUAGGGACGAAGCUUUUGUGACGGUACCGAGAUAAGAAGCACCGGCUAACUACGUG